AUAUCAAUAAGCGGAGGAAAAGAAACCAACAGGGAUUGCCCUAGUAACGGCGAGUGAAGCGGCAACAGCUCAAAUUUGAAAUCUGGCUCUCGGGUCCGAGUUGUAAUUUGUAGGGGAUACUUUUGAUGCGGUGCCUUCCGAGUUCCCUGGAACGGGACGCCAUAGAGGGUGAGAGCCCCGUCUGGUUGGAUGCCAAAUCUCUGUAAAGUUCCUUCAACGAGUCGAGUAGUUUGGGAAUGCUGCUCUAAAUGGGAGGUAUAUGUCUUCUAAAGCUAAAUACCGGCCAGAGACCGAUAGCGCACAAGUAGAGUGAUCGAAAGAUGAAAAGCACUUUGAAAAGAGAGUUAAAAAGUACGUGAAAUUGUUGAAAGGGAAGCGUUUAUGACCAGACUUGGGCUUGGUUAAUCAUCUGGGGUUCUCCCCAGUGCACUUUUCCAGUCCAGGCCAGCAUCAGUUUUCCCCGGGGGAUAAAGGCGGCGGGAAUGUGGCUCUCUUCGGGGAGUGUUAUAGCCCACCGUGUAAUACCCUGGGGGGGACUGAGGUUCGCGCAUCUGCAAGGAUGCUGGCGUAAUGGUCAUCAACG
This 583-nucleotide ribosomal RNA is filed under the name Fusarium oxysporum f. sp. albedinis. RNAcentral describes it as "LSU rRNA". It matches the Rfam family "Eukaryotic large subunit ribosomal RNA", at positions 40 to 646 of the family's 3401-position model. Lineage: Eukaryota; Fungi; Ascomycota; Sordariomycetes; Hypocreales; Nectriaceae. The record is from RNAcentral.